This 347-nucleotide unclassified non-coding RNA is filed under the name soil metagenome. RNAcentral describes it as "partial contains 5.8S ribosomal RNA, internal transcribed spacer 2, and large subunit ribosomal RNA". The stretch from base 1 to 120 matches the Rfam family "5.8S ribosomal RNA", at positions 35 to 154 of the family's 154-position model. The record is from RNAcentral.
GAUGAAGAACGCAGCGAAAUGCGAUAAAUAAUGUGAAUUGCAGAAUUCAGUGAAUCAUCGAGUCUUUGAACGCACAUUGCGCCCCCUGUUAUUCCGGGGGGCAUGCCUGUCCGAGCGUCAUUGCUGCCCUCAAGCACGGCUUGUGUGUUGGGCCCCCGUCCCCCCCUCCCGGGGGACGGGCCCGAAAGGCAGCGGCGGCACCGCGUCCGGUCCUCGAGCGUAUGGGGCUUUGUCACCCGCUCUGUAGGCCCGGCCGGCGCCUGCCGACCACCAUCAAUCUUUUUUCAGGUUGACCUCGGAUCAGGUAGGGAUACCCGCUGAACUUAAGCAUAUCAAUAAGCGGAGGA